GUGGGUCUCGUACAAUGGCAGUACGCCGGCGUGCCAAGCCGGGAACACGGGUUCGAUUCCCGUGACUCACUCCA
The sequence is a transfer RNA, 74 nucleotides long. It matches the Rfam family "tRNA". From Rfam's summary of the family: Transfer RNA (tRNA) molecules are approximately 80 nucleotides in length. Their secondary structure includes four short double-helical elements and three loops (D, anti-codon, and T loops). Further hydrogen bonds mediate the characteristic L-shaped molecular structure. tRNAs have two regions of fundamental functional importance: the anti-codon, which is responsible for specific mRNA codon recognition, and the 3' end, to which the tRNAs corresponding amino acid is attached (by aminoacyl-tRNA synthetases). tRNAs cope with the degeneracy of the genetic code in two manners: having more than one tRNA (with a specific anti-codon) for a particular amino acid; and 'wobble' base-pairing, i.e. permitting non-standard base-pairing at the 3rd anti-codon position.